UCUCGCGUCAGGAUAUGCCUAGGUGGGAUUAGCUAGUUGGUGAGGUAAGGGCUCACCAAGGCGACGAUCCCUAGCUGGUCUGAGAGGAUGAUCAGCCACACUGGAACUGAGACACGGUCCAGACUCCUACGGGAGGCAGCAGUGGGGAAUAUUGCACAAUGGGCGCAAGCCUGAUGCAGCCAUGCCGCGUGUGUGAAGAAGGCCUUCGGGUUGUAAAGCACUUUCAGUCGUGAGGAAGGUAGUGUGUUUAAUAGAUGCAUUAUUUGACGUUAGCGACAGAAGAAGCACCGGCUAACUCCGUGCCAGCAGCCGCGGUAAUACGGAGGGUGCGAGCGUUAAUCGGAAUUACUGGGCGUAAAGCGCAUGCAGGUGGUUUGUUAAGUCAGAUGUGAAAGCCCGGGGCUCAACCUCGGAAUAGCAUUUGAAACUGGCAGACUAGAGUACUGUAGAGGGGGGUAGAAUUUCAGGUGUAGCGGUGAAAUGCGUAGAGAUCUGAAGGAAUACCGGUGGCGAAGGCGGCCCCCUGGACAGAUACUGACACUCAGAUGCGAAAGCGUGGGGAGCAAACAGGAUUAGAUACCCUGGUAGUCCACGCCGUAAACGAUGUCUACUUGGAGGUUGUGGCCUUGAGCCGUGGCUUUCGGAGCUAACGCGUUAAGUAGACCGCCUGGGGAGUACGGUCGCAAGAUUAAAACUCAAAUGAAUUGACGGGGGCCCGCACAAGCGGUGGAGCAUGUGGUUUAAUUCGAUGCAACGCGAAGAACCUUACCUACUCUUGACAUCCAGAGAACUUUCCAGAGAUGGAUUGGUGCCUUCGGGAACUC
This 824-nucleotide ribosomal RNA is filed under the name Vibrio campbellii. RNAcentral describes it as "bacterial SSU rRNA". It matches the Rfam family "Bacterial small subunit ribosomal RNA", at positions 213 to 1029 of the family's 1533-position model. The record is from RNAcentral. Lineage: Bacteria; Pseudomonadati; Pseudomonadota; Gammaproteobacteria; Vibrionales; Vibrionaceae.